GGCAGUAUUUUUUGGCAUUGACACUUGCUUGGGAUUCUAAUGACACUCAGAGCAAAGGUGGAUUUUAUUUUGAAAAUGGAUGAGAAGAGCUCUCUGAGGAUACUAUGUCUGUGAUAUGAAGUAAGGCUGAGUUCCCCUGGAUCCUCUCCACGUAGAUCUUCCCACCGCGGACUCGCUGGGUGUAGAUGGCGUAGGGGAAGGAAGGGUCUACCGUGCUAACGAUCUGUACUUCACGCUCGGGAGCAGAGGGCAGGUAAAUGGACCACUGGAAGUUCUGCUCAGAGGGACCCUGGUAGCCACUCACGUUGCACCAGAUGGUGAUGUGGGAGCUCUCUGUGCGGUACAAGGGUCCUUCCUGGACGGUGACCUGUCGCUGCGCUGACACCACACCUAAGGGGAGACAGACACAACAACGUGCUUUUCUGACUGAAUGCCAAACAGACAGCAGUCCCCAGAGGGUUUGUUAUUUGUGUGACAUGAUGGCAAUAUAAAUAGGUUACUGGCCCUUUCCAAGGCACUUUGUGAUUUAUAAAUAUUAAUUAAAACAGCGUGGUAAAGCUCUG
RNAcentral lists this long non-coding RNA (563 nucleotides) under Mus pahari (shrew mouse). RNAcentral's name for it is "lncRNA (MGP_PahariEiJ_G0003498.1)". The record is from RNAcentral. Lineage: Eukaryota; Metazoa; Chordata; Mammalia; Rodentia; Muridae.